Molecule: non-coding RNA, 85 nt
Organism: Arthromyces matolae
Lineage: Eukaryota; Fungi; Basidiomycota; Agaricomycetes; Agaricales; Lyophyllaceae
Source: the annotation of a GenBank genome assembly
GCCCUCUUAGCUCAGUGGUAGAGCGCUUCACUCGUAUUCUCAAGAGCAUAUGAAGAGGCCAGUCGUUCAAAUCGGCUAGGGGGCA